This 327-nucleotide ribosomal RNA is filed under the name uncultured eukaryote. RNAcentral describes it as "partial 18S ribosomal RNA". It matches the Rfam family "Eukaryotic small subunit ribosomal RNA", at positions 1470 to 1796 of the family's 1831-position model. The record is from RNAcentral.
CCCUUAGAUGUUCUGGGCCGCACGCGCGCUACACUGAUGAAUGCAACGAGCUCUACCCUUGACCGAAAGGCCCGGGUAAACUUGUGAAACUUCAUCGUGAUGGGGAUAGAUUAUUGCAAUUAUUAAUCUUCAACGAGGAAUUCCUAGUAAGCGCGAGUCAUCAGCUCGCGUUGAUUACGUCCCUGCCCUUUGUACACACCGCCCGUCGCUCCUACCGAUUGAAUGGUCCGGUGAAGUCUUCGGAUUGCUGACCAAGAUCCAGCAAUGGAGCUUGGUUGCGAGAAGUUGAUUAAACCUUAUUAUUUAGAGGAAGGAGAAGUCGUAACA